CUCAGCGAACGUUGGCGACAGUUGGCCCUUGGCACUCUCUUGGAAUCCACGCUGCGGAUUCAGAAUUCCGGAUUCCGGAUCCGGAUUUGGAACACUGAACAGCGGCAAUCGACGCAUCACCGGAUUUCUCGGGGCAACGGAAUUCCCCAUUCAUAUUUUUAGUGCUUGCGUGCGGAAUUUAUAUAUAUAUUUUUUUGUUGGUGCCGAAAGUUAAACAUUUUCACGUGAGAUUGCAAGGACACUCGAAUAGCAAUAGCAAAGGAGCAGGACAAGCAGCAGUUGCAGUUGCACCAACAAUAUAUAUUUUUGCUGCCAGCGCCAAGUUCAAAAUCAACGCCUGACAAUGACAACAGUAACAGCAACAACAACAACAACACCAACAGCAGCAGCGGGAGCAGCAUGGCGCCCAAAAAGCCCUAAAAUACCAGCAACAUCGAUAGCAACACCAGCAACAUUGCCUGUGGCAGCCACACCAAUCAAAUCGGCGGCCAUAAUAACACCAACAAAUACACCAACAACAACAACAACAACAGGAGUAGAACUAGAAGC
This is a long non-coding RNA of Drosophila serrata, 549 nucleotides long. Lineage: Eukaryota; Metazoa; Arthropoda; Insecta; Diptera; Drosophilidae. The record is from RefSeq and is a predicted model, not a curated record.